Molecule: non-coding RNA, 66 nt
Filed under: Oscillospiraceae bacterium
Lineage: Bacteria; Bacillati; Bacillota; Clostridia; Eubacteriales; Oscillospiraceae
Source: RNAcentral
AGCCGAAACGCCCAUCCUGGGCGUCCGCCGGGGAUCGCCUCCCGACGCUGAUGAUGGCAGGCGAGA